UGCGCCCAUAGCUCAAAUGGAUAGAGCGUUGGACUACGAAUCCAAAGGCUUGCAGGUUCGAAUCCUGCUGGGCGCGA
This 77-nucleotide transfer RNA is filed under the name Deltaproteobacteria bacterium ADurb.Bin135. Its description in RNAcentral is "tRNA-Arg". It matches the Rfam family "tRNA". From Rfam's summary of the family: Transfer RNA (tRNA) molecules are approximately 80 nucleotides in length. Their secondary structure includes four short double-helical elements and three loops (D, anti-codon, and T loops). Further hydrogen bonds mediate the characteristic L-shaped molecular structure. tRNAs have two regions of fundamental functional importance: the anti-codon, which is responsible for specific mRNA codon recognition, and the 3' end, to which the tRNAs corresponding amino acid is attached (by aminoacyl-tRNA synthetases). tRNAs cope with the degeneracy of the genetic code in two manners: having more than one tRNA (with a specific anti-codon) for a particular amino acid; and 'wobble' base-pairing, i.e. permitting non-standard base-pairing at the 3rd anti-codon position. The record is from RNAcentral. Lineage: Bacteria; Deltaproteobacteria.